UUCCGGUUGAUCCUGCCGGACCCGACUGCUAUUUGGGUGAGGAUAAGCCAUGCGAGUUGAAUGGGAUACCUAAAUUUCCCAUAGCAAACUGCUCAGUAACACAUGAUCAACUUACCCUAUGGAGAAAAAUAACCUCGGGAAACUGAGGAUAAUGUUUCAUAGUUGAAUAGGCUUGGAAAAGUUUUUCAAUGAAAGGGAUAAGAAAAAUGGUUCUUAUUUGCCAUAGGAUAGGAUCGUGGUCGAUUAUGGUUGUUGGUGAGGUAACGGCUCACCAAGCCGAUAAUCGAUAGGGGCCGUGAGAGCGGGAGCCCCGAGAUGGGUACUGAGACAACGACCCAGGCCUUACGAGGCGCAGCAGGCGCGAAACCUCCGCAAUACACGAAAGUGUGACGGGGUUACCCAAAGUGUUCUAUUUAGAACUGUGGUAGGUGAGUAAUGUUCCCUACUAGAAAGGAGAGGGCAAGGCUGGUGCCAGCCGCCGCGGUAAAACCAGCUCUUCAAGUGGUCGGGAUAAUUAUUGGGCUUAAAGUGUCCGUAGCCGGUUUAGUAAGUUCCUGGUAAAAUCGGGUAGCUUAACUAUCUAUAUGCUAGGAAUACUGCUAUACUAGAGGGCGGGAGAGGUCUGAGGUACUACAGGGGUAGGGGUGAAAUCUUAUAAUCCUUGUAGGACCACCAGUGGCGAAGGCGUCAGACUGGAACGCGCCUGACGGUGAGGGACGAAAGCCAGGGGAGCGAACCGGAUUAGAUACCCGGGUAGUCCUGGCCGUAAACGAUGCAUACUAGGUGAUGGCACGGCCAUGAGCCGUGUCAGUGCCGUAGGGAAACCGUUAAGUGUGCCGCCUGGGAAGUACGGUCGCAAGGCUAAAACUUAAAGGAAUUGGCGGGGGAGCACCACAAGGGGUGAAGCCUGCGGUUCAAUUGGAGUCAACGCCGGA
This 935-nucleotide ribosomal RNA is filed under the name uncultured archaeon. Its description in RNAcentral is "bacterial SSU rRNA". It matches the Rfam family "Archaeal small subunit ribosomal RNA", at positions 1 to 922 of the family's 1478-position model. The record is from RNAcentral.